GGAGAGGUGCCGGAGUGGUCGAACGGGCUCGCCUGGAAAGUGAGUGUACGGUUUACCCCGUACCGAGGGUUCGAAUCCCUCCCUCUCCGCCA
Molecule: transfer RNA, 92 nt
Filed under: Gammaproteobacteria bacterium
Lineage: Bacteria; Pseudomonadati; Pseudomonadota; Gammaproteobacteria
Also listed under: 2 other names
Description: tRNA-Ser
Rfam family: tRNA
About the family: Transfer RNA (tRNA) molecules are approximately 80 nucleotides in length. Their secondary structure includes four short double-helical elements and three loops (D, anti-codon, and T loops). Further hydrogen bonds mediate the characteristic L-shaped molecular structure. tRNAs have two regions of fundamental functional importance: the anti-codon, which is responsible for specific mRNA codon recognition, and the 3' end, to which the tRNAs corresponding amino acid is attached (by aminoacyl-tRNA synthetases). tRNAs cope with the degeneracy of the genetic code in two manners: having more than one tRNA (with a specific anti-codon) for a particular amino acid; and 'wobble' base-pairing, i.e. permitting non-standard base-pairing at the 3rd anti-codon position.
Source: RNAcentral